AAGAGGGAAAAGGCUUCCGUUUAUGUAGCAUAACAAUGGACCAAAACAAAAGCAGAAAUCAUUUUACUCAUGCUUAGAAAGAAAAGACGUCAAGAGGAUGGAGGACUCACAUUCUGUUAACUCUUCUGCCUGUGAGCUUUUCCCAUGUGAUCUCACAGUGUAAAGUACUCCUUUCAAAGCAGUACCGCAUUACGAAAUCUGCAAAUCCCAGAAGUCAAUAACCUGAAGACACGCCAGGAGCAGUGAAGAAAACAAGUGUCAUGAGAGAUGAGGCAAUAAAGACAGCAAGCUGAGGAGGAGGCUGUUUUCAAGCCACUGACCAGGAUACACAGUAGGUA
This 338-nucleotide long non-coding RNA is filed under the name Macaca fascicularis (crab-eating macaque). RNAcentral's name for it is "lncRNA (ENSMFAG00000054940.1)". Lineage: Eukaryota; Metazoa; Chordata; Mammalia; Primates; Cercopithecidae. The record is from RNAcentral.